Molecule: ribosomal RNA, 441 nt
Filed under: uncultured bacterium
Lineage: Bacteria
Description: bacterial SSU rRNA
Rfam family: Bacterial small subunit ribosomal RNA
Source: RNAcentral
GAUUAACGCGAAGAACCUUACCUACGUUGAACUACGCGGGAAAAGCCAUGGAGACAUGGUGUCCGAAAGGGUCCGCGAUAGGUGGUGCAUGGCUGUCGUCAGCUCGUGUCGUGAGAUGUUGGGUUAAGUCCCGCAACGAGCGCAACCCUUGUCCUAUGUUGCCAGCGGGUAAUGCCGGGGACUCGUAGGAGACUGCCGGGGUCAACUCGGAGGAAGGUGGGGAUGACGUCAAGUCUGCAUGCCCCUUACGCGUAGGGCUGCUAACAUGCUACAACGGCCGGUACAAAGGGCUGCUAAUCCGCGAGGAGGAGCGAAUCCCAAAAAGCCGGUCUCAGUUCGGAUUGGAGUCUGCAACUCGACUCCAUGAAGUCGGAGUCGCUAGUAAUCCCGGAUCAGCUACGCCGGGGUGAAUACGUUCCCGGGCCUUGUACACACCGAAUC